CCUUAAAUUUAGUUAUCUACCUACAACAUGGACAUAAAUAAAUCCUUUAUAAAACAAAACAUUUACACGAUUUAGUAAAAGCGAUCGAAAUUCAAUUAAAAACUAUAAAUAAAGUACCGCAAGGGAAAAAUGAAAUAGAUGUAAGACAAAAGCACAAAAAAGUAGAGACUACCUCGUACCUUUUGCAUCAUGGUCUGACUAGAAAAAUCAAGCAAAACGUAAUUAUAGUUUGCCCCCCCGAAACUAAGUGAGCUACUUUAAAAUAGCUAUCGAGCCAACUCGUCUCUGUCGCAAAAGAGUGAGAAAAUUUUUAAGUAGAGGCAAUAAACCUACCGAACUUAGAGAUAGCUGGUUACUUAAGAAAAGAAUAUGAGUUCAACCUUAAAUUACAUUUGCACAAUAUAAGCAAUUUUAAGAGCUAUUCAAAUAGGGUACAGCCUAUCUGAAGCAGGAAACAACCUAAAAGACUGGGUAUUAAGCAUAGCAGUAUUCAAGUGGGCCUGAGAGCAGCCAUCUUUAAAAAAGCGUCAAAGCUUAAACACUAAACAAUAAAAAUUUUUGUCUAAUAACCAAACCCACCACCGCUAUUAAGUGACUUUAUAAUUAUAUAAAAAAUAUUAUGUUAGAAUUAGUAAUAAGAAAUUGUUUUUCUCCAAAAUAUGAGUGUAACGCAAAACAAACCAAUAGCCGCCAAUUACUGUAUAUAAGCCCUAUGUAGCAACUCCACAAGAAAACCCUACUACAACAAACAUUAACCUAACACAAGAAUACUGCUGGAAAGAUUAAAAAAAGAGGAAGGAACUCGGCAAAUAUAAACCCCGCCUGUUUACCAAAAACAUCGCCUCUUGUUAAAUUAUAAGAGGUCCUGCCUGCCCCGUGAUUUAAUUUAACGGCCGCGGUAUCCUAACCGUGCAAAGGUAGCAUAAUCAAUUGUCCCUUAAAUCGGGACUAGUAUGAACGGCAUCACGAGGGUUAAACUGUCUCCCUCCUUAAAUCAAUGAAAUUAAUUUUCCCGUGAAGAAGCGGGGAUAAAAUUAUAAGACGAAAAGACCCCAUGGAGCUUUAAGCUUAUUACCAUUUAUCUAAUUAUCUAACAUAUUAAAUGAUAAAAGUGUUCUUUAAUAGCUUUCGGUUGGGGCGACCCUGGAGAAAAAUAAAUCCUCCAGAUUGAAAAUAAUAACCCUUAUAUAAGAACUACUGUUCAAAUAAACAAAAACUUGACAAAACUGACCCAGAAUUAACUGAUCAGUGGACCAAGUUACCCUGGGGAUAACAGCGCAAUCCAUUUCAAGAGCCCAUAUCGACAAAUGGGUUUACGACCUCGAUGUUGGAUCGGGGUAUCCUAGCAGCGCAGCUGUUGCUAAUGGUUCGUUUGUUCAACGAUUAACACC
This 1391-nucleotide ribosomal RNA is filed under the name Hyperolius sp. TNHC 61197. Its description in RNAcentral is "partial 16S ribosomal RNA". It matches the Rfam family "Bacterial large subunit ribosomal RNA", at positions 136 to 2595 of the family's 2925-position model. The record is from RNAcentral. Lineage: Eukaryota; Metazoa; Chordata; Amphibia; Anura; Hyperoliidae.